CGGACGGGUGAGUAAUGUCUGGGAAACUGCCUGAUGGAGGGGGAUAACUACUGGAAACGGUAGUUAAUACCGCAUAACGUCGCAAGACCAAAGAGGGGGACCUUCGGGCCUCUUGCCAUCGGAUGUGCCCAGAUGGGAUUAGCUAGUAGGUGGGUAACGGCUCACCUAGGCGACGAUCCCUAGCUGGUCUGAGAGGAUGACCAGCCACACUGGAACUGAGACACGGUCCAG
This 231-nucleotide ribosomal RNA is filed under the name uncultured bacterium. RNAcentral's name for it is "partial 16S ribosomal RNA". It matches the Rfam family "Bacterial small subunit ribosomal RNA", at positions 99 to 334 of the family's 1533-position model. The record is from RNAcentral.